ACGGAGGGUGCAAGCGUUAUCCGGAAUCAUUGGGUUUAAAGGGUCCGCAGGCGGACUAAUAAGUCAGUGGUGAAAUCCUCUCGCUUAACGAGAGAACUGCCAUUGAAACUGUUAGUCUUGAAUUCGGUCGAAGUAGGCGGAAUGUGUCAUGUAGCGGUGAAAUGCAUAGAUAUGACACAGAACACCGAUAGCGAAGGCAGCUUACUAGACCUGGAUUGACGCUCAUGGACGAAAGCGUGGGGAGCGAACAGG
This 252-nucleotide ribosomal RNA is filed under the name uncultured bacterium. RNAcentral's name for it is "partial 16S ribosomal RNA". It matches the Rfam family "Bacterial small subunit ribosomal RNA", at positions 525 to 776 of the family's 1533-position model. The record is from RNAcentral.